Long non-coding RNA from Brassica napus (rape), 1890 nucleotides. RefSeq lists it as uncharacterized. NCBI's taxonomy places the organism in Eukaryota, Viridiplantae, Streptophyta, Magnoliopsida, Brassicales, Brassicaceae. The transcript has 5 exons. The record is from RefSeq and is a predicted model, not a curated record.
AAAAGCAUUGGAUACUUCACCUAAACAGUUUAUUCUUCUCCUUCUCUCGGUUCCCUUUUCCUUACGACUAUCUUCUCCGCUUAACACAAUUCGCUUUUUGCUUCUUCUUCUUGCAUUCUUAGCUUCAACUUAUUUUCUUUCUAGCUUUUGUGGGUAACUUGGGGUUUAUCUCGCCGUAGAUCUGGGUUGGGGCUCAUAACCGAUGGUGGCUGGAGCGAGGGUUUGCGGAGUUCCAGACGACAUCAGAUCUACAGUUAUUCACCUUCCUUCUCAUCUCUCCGUCGUCAGUCACGGGUUCGGUUUUGCAAAAAAGUCGAGAUCUUCACCAUGUAAUAAAGGGUUGUGGUCCUCGUGGAGUUAGCAGGUGGUUAUAUCACCAGUAUUUGCGAAUUGAGCAAUGAUAUCAUCUUCCUCAUGCGGCUGCAGUGCUAAAAGAGAAGUGUAAGAUUGACUUGUGUGUUAUGAGUGUCACUGGCUCAAGUAAAAUGGGAAUCAACUUAUCAAGAUGGAGUUAACUUAUGUAAGAAGAGGGAGAGUCAGCCGAUGCUGAUACAUCAAGCUGUUACUACGACUGGUUGCUGCUGCUGCGAGGAAUUCAUGUGGUCACUACGACCCAAGACAUAUCAGAAUCUAAAGAUCAGAGAUCUCUAAAGAAAACCGUACACAUUACUUCUAUGAAGGAUGACGGUGGUGAGCAGUAUCUACGGUUGCCAACGGCGGCGGUGGUGGUGGUUACGGCCAAGACAUAUCACAAAAUGUUAUUUAUGUUUUAAGUUUAGUUAAUUUAUUUUAAUUUUAUUGUAUAACAAAAUAUUAUUUCAAACAAAAUUAAUUGUUUGGUUUUUCAUUUAUUUUUAAAAAAAAUUUAUUUAAUUAUUUUAAUUAUAUUCUAUUACAAAAUAAAUAAAUUUUGUUUUGUAUUUUUUAAAAAAAAAUAAUUAUUGAAUAGCUACAAAUUGCCACUUAAAAAAUUGCGGCUAUCAAAAAGUAAUUUGUAACUAUCCAAAGGUAAUUUGUGGCAGAAAUAGCCACAAAAAUAUUGUUGUGGCUAUGUCGUAGAAAGACAUCCGCGGAUUGCCACAAAUAAGCGAUAGCCACAAGCUUGACGUUGAAUUUUAUUUUGUGGCUAAUCGUAGCUAUUGAUCAAAUAGCUACGAAAAUUUAAUUUUAGCUACAAAUAUUUUGGUGGCUAUAAACAAAGUUUCUUGCAGUGACUCUAAUAAACUUCAAAAGAAGAUAAAUUUCUUUGAGCGUUUAGAUAUAGAUCCAAAACCAGUUCUGUCAAACUAGAAAUAAAUCCGGACUGCUUUUGAAAUGGAUUUAGUUGUUAAAAGCUUGUAUUGGGUAAUGAUCUGAAAUAUGUACGAAUAAAAAUAUCAUGCUAAUGAAGUUACAUGUAAAGUCAUCCGGAAGAAUCUAGGCAAGUCCAAAAAAAUAAACAAUCUAAGCAAGUUCAUUUACAAAAGUCAAAAGUCUUGAAUGUUGAGUCAAUGAGUCUGAUUGUAUGUUUUUCAUAUGUGAUUUUUUAAUCAUUGGCUAAUUUAGUAAUUUGUAAACCACCAAAUUAUACAUGAUAAUGAAAAUCUGGUAGAAAUAUAAUAUUACAUUAUUUUUUGAAAAUGUAUAGAUAUAAUAAGUAUUCUACAAAAGUACAAUUUGAAAAUAUUUACCUUCAACAGAUCUAUUACAAUCCUUUACAUGCCUUCAAAUAUCUUGUAAGGAAAUCAUUUGGUUUCAACUUGAAUCGCCUCACACAAAUCAAAAAGGUAAAACAAGAACAAACAAAGAACACUGAAGAUUGUUUAUGCGGUGUUCACCUCCUCUUUCUUAAUGUGAGAGAGAGCUAUAUUCAUCAAGGCUGGAUACUAGCCCACAAUUCACUAGAAUGUU